UGUCAUUACACUAAUAUAUGCUACGCAAGCUGUUGCCUUGAAACGCAUACUGUAUGGAUUUUAUUUACAUCUCUGUUCGCCUCAACUAUUUGUAACCUUGACAAUACAGCGCAUGCGCGACGUGCAACAGGUUAACGUGAAACGCCCUUAAAGAUUCGCUGUUUUCUAAGUUGUCGAGUGAAUUUGUUGUUUAGUUUUGUGUAGGGAUUUAACUUACGUUAUCUACAACAAUGUCGGGAGAGUGGCAACACGGACUUUGCGGAUGUUUUGAUAACUUUGGACUGUGUAUUGUAUCCUGGCUUAUUCCAUGCUACAGAUUUGGCAAAAAUGCGGAAGCAGUCGGCGAGGAUUGUUUACUAUGCGGCAUCGGAUUCCUGGUUCCGGGUCUUGACCUCUUCCUAGGAGCUCAUAUUAGGUCCAAAAUUCGAGAAUCGAAAGGGAUCCAGGGGAGUUUUGUUGGGGAUUUAAUUAUGUAUUUCUGCUGCCCUCUCUGCGCCUUGGUGCAAGAAUCUCAGGAAGUUGCCGGGGGCAGUCCACAGGCAGUGUCUAUGGCAAGGGAAUGAUUGGAAGAAAAAAAGUUUAAACAAUCGGAUAUGUGCUUGUAUGAAUGCAAAGAAUACUUGAUUAAACACGGUGUUGAUAUAACUUGCUUUAUAUAAAACGGUAACAUUCAGUGUUGUUUACUAGUUCAGUACAGAAGAAUAUUAAUGGCCUUUUUAAUACGAUCGCAGGAACUGGUGUCUUUAUUAAUUCAUUGUUGGAUAGGGAGUGUAGUUUUAAACUUGUCAAUAUAUUAACAAGUUACUGCUGGAUGUAUAUUUCUUUGACUUUAUUCAGGACCAUUUCAUUGGAUAUAAUUCUGCUUCAAACGGUGCUAAUCCUCAUUUGUGCCUGCUCAUGCCUUAUAUUUCCUCGUUUCGUCUAGAAAGCGCACAUGACGGAUGCUGUUCGGCUGUUCCCGGAUAAUUCCGGAUACUGUUUCCGGAUAACUCCGGAUACUGUUCCCGGAUGAUCUAGACAACAGUACUUUCCAAUAUUCACCUUUUUGUGUUCAAAGAUUGUAUUCAAAUCUUCAAAAAACGUCUGCAUUUUAUUUCCACGACAAACCAAUAUUUUAACCAUUUUUAUGCAGUACAUGUAGUUUAACUUUUAUUUAUCCUCAUUGUUUCAGCUUCGAAUUAUGGUGUUGUGUAUUUUUUAAAGAUUUGUUUGGCAUUGAUUUACUGCUGAUAAUCAGUUUUCUGAGUAAAUAAAUAAACAAAUAUAACCGCUUUGGAUAAAUAUU
Ruditapes philippinarum (Manila clam) is the source of this 1285-nucleotide long non-coding RNA. RefSeq lists it as uncharacterized. The record is from RefSeq and is a predicted model, not a curated record. The transcript is spliced from 2 exons. Lineage: Eukaryota; Metazoa; Mollusca; Bivalvia; Venerida; Veneridae.